This 61-nucleotide small RNA is filed under the name Salix viminalis (osier). The record is from RNAcentral. Lineage: Eukaryota; Viridiplantae; Streptophyta; Magnoliopsida; Malpighiales; Salicaceae.
UUAAUAGGUUUGAGUUUUUGUAUCUGCUUUGAUCAUAAUUAACCCUUCAAUUAUUGAUUAA